Molecule: ribosomal RNA, 253 nt
Filed under: uncultured bacterium
Lineage: Bacteria
Description: partial 16S ribosomal RNA
Rfam family: Bacterial small subunit ribosomal RNA
Source: RNAcentral
UACAGAGGGUGCGAGCGUUAAUCGGAGUUACUGGGCGUAAAGGGCGCGUAGGCGGUCUUGUAAGUUGGAUGUGAAAUCCCUGGGCUUAACCUGGGAACUGCAUUCAAAACUGCUUGACUAGAGUUUGGUAGAGGGUAGUGGAAUUCCCGGUGUAGCGGUGAAAUGCGUAGAUAUCGGGAGGAACAUCAGUGGCGAAGGCGGCUCACUGGCCCGGUACUGACGCUGAGGUGCGAAAGCGUGGGGAGCAAACAGG